UAGGGAAUCUUCCGCAAUGGACGCAAGUCUGACGGAGCAACGCCGCGUGAGUGAAGAAGGAUUUCGGUUCGUAAAACUCUGUUGUUAGAGAAGAACAGCGCAUAGAGUAACUGUUAUGCGUGUGACGGUAUCUAACCAGAAAGCCACGGCUAACUACGUGCCAGCAGCCGCGGUAAUACGUAGGUGGCAAGCGUUGUCCGGAUUUAUUGGGCGUAAAGCGAGCGCAGGCGGUCAAUUAAGUCUGAUGUGAAAGCCCCCGGCUCAACCGGGGAGGGUCAGUGGAAACUGGUUGACUUGAGUGCAGAAGAGGAGAGUGGAAUUCCAUGUGUAGCGGUGAAAUGCGUAGAUAUAUGGGGGAACACCAGUGGCGAAGGCGACUCUCUGGUCUGUAACUGACGCUGAGGCUCGAAAGCGUGGGUAGCAAACAGG
This 429-nucleotide ribosomal RNA is filed under the name Bacteroidota bacterium. RNAcentral's name for it is "Bacteroidetes bacterium partial 16S ribosomal RNA". It matches the Rfam family "Bacterial small subunit ribosomal RNA", at positions 355 to 776 of the family's 1533-position model. The record is from RNAcentral. Lineage: Bacteria; Pseudomonadati; Bacteroidota.